UCUCUCUCUUUCUCCUCAGAUCUCCAGGCUCAAAGCGUCAGUCCACCAGCUGAACUCUCAGUCAGACUGGUGAAUGGGACCACUUCCUGUUCUGGGACAGUGGAAGUCUUCUACAGAGGAGAGUGGUCAGGUCUAUGUACUAGUGGGUGGUGGUGGAGCAUGAUGAGAGAGAUUAAGGUUGUGUGUAGAGAGAUGGACUGUGGGAAUCCUGUAUCUGAAUCUAGAGGACCUCUGAUUGAAGAUGGAAGAAGAGGAGUCAG
Molecule: long non-coding RNA, 260 nt
Organism: Oncorhynchus kisutch (coho salmon)
Lineage: Eukaryota; Metazoa; Chordata; Actinopteri; Salmoniformes; Salmonidae
Exons: 2
Source: RefSeq, a predicted model, not a curated record